AGAGUUUGAUCCUGGCUCAGGACGAACGCUGGCGGCGUGCCUAAUACAUGCAAGUCGAACGGUCUUUUCUAUGGAAGCUUGCUUCCACUGAGAAGAUAGUGGCGAACGGGUGAGUAACACGUGGGUAACCUGCCCAUAAGAGGGGGAUAACAUCCGGGAAACGGGUGCUAAUACCCGCAUAGUUUUCYUUGAUCGCAUGAUCGAGAAARGGAAGACGGCCUUUGUGCUGUCGCUUAUGGAUGGACCCCCGGCGUAUUAGUUAGUUGGUGAGGUAAUGGCUCACCAAGACGAAGAUACGUAGCCGACCUGAGAGGGUGAUCGGCCACAUUGGGACUGAGACCCGGCCCCAACUCCUAC
RNAcentral lists this ribosomal RNA (357 nucleotides) under uncultured Bacteroides sp. RNAcentral's name for it is "bacterial SSU rRNA". It matches the Rfam family "Bacterial small subunit ribosomal RNA", at positions 8 to 342 of the family's 1533-position model. The record is from RNAcentral. Lineage: Bacteria; Pseudomonadati; Bacteroidota; Bacteroidia; Bacteroidales; Bacteroidaceae.